UACGGAGGGUGCAAGCGUUAUCCGGAUUCACUGGGUUUAAAGGGUGCGUAGGCGGAUAUGUAAGUCCGUGGUGAAAUCUCUGGGCUUAACCCGGAAACUGCCAUGGAUACUAUGUGUCUUGAAUGUUGUUGAGGUGAGCGGAAUAUGUCAUGUAGCGGUGAAAUGCUUAGAUAUGACAUAGAACACCAAUUGCGAAGGCAGCUCACUAAGCAAAUAUUGACGCUGAGGCACGAAAGCGUGGGGAGCAAACAGG
This 253-nucleotide ribosomal RNA is filed under the name uncultured bacterium. RNAcentral describes it as "partial 16S ribosomal RNA". It matches the Rfam family "Bacterial small subunit ribosomal RNA", at positions 524 to 776 of the family's 1533-position model. The record is from RNAcentral.